Long non-coding RNA from Crotalus tigris (Tiger rattlesnake), 1303 nucleotides. RefSeq lists it as uncharacterized. The transcript is spliced from 2 exons. Lineage: Eukaryota; Metazoa; Chordata; Lepidosauria; Squamata; Viperidae. The record is from RefSeq and is a predicted model, not a curated record.
CUAGCUCUUGAAGUUAAGAGUCCAAGCUUAGUAAGUAUUUAUAAUCCAAGAAGGUCAGGGUAAUAAGUAUGCCAAAAUAUUUUCCUUUAUUGCCAGCUAUUCUCCCAAGCUAGGAAUCACCAAGCAGGCAGGAGGCAAAUUAUAGUGCUAUGCACAAAUCCACCACUAGAUGUCAUUCAAGGUCCAUUUCUCACUCUUAAAACAAACGAUUUAUUUCUUAUAUUUCACCUCAAUGUGUUUUUUUUUUCAAAGAGAAAAUCUUAACAAUUAUCUCAGUUCUCAAAUUUAUUAAAACUAGUGUUAUAUUACUUCCACUUCAAUAUUAUAUGCUUCUGUCCCCCAUGGAGGUUUUUAGCUUCUUGGGAACCUUUCUCAGGAAAUUCAGUUGUAAAAUAGUAAAGAAAGGAUCAAUAUUCUCACCCAGUUCCAAACAUGCUGUUUACGAUGUAUUAAGUAGUGCUUUUUUCUUUGGUUCUCAGCAGAUAAUGGCCAGCCACAGGAAUAUAGCCGGUCUUUCCCCUGCCAAUUUGGAGGGUUUCCCUUGUAUCGAAUGGAUUUUAGGGCCCCCAGUAGGGCGAAAUCAGGCGCAGAAGGCAGGGCUCUGCCUUCUUGCGUCCUGUCUCGCUGCGACGCAAAUCGGAAGUCUACCUGCUUUAAUCUUUUGAUAAGCAGUGUUGCCCUAACAUGUUUUGCAAAGUAUUUCUAGGAUACCGAGUCACUAAACUCAUUUGUCCACUGUUCAUUUCAUUAUCUCCAUUAUCUUCAGUUAACGAAAAUAAUGUUUAUCAAAGGUUUGAAUUAAUUCAGUUGUAUCCAAAUGAAAUAAAGCAGUAGUUUUACUAGUUGGAGGCUGUUUUUUGCAGAACAAAUCCUCAUAACAUAAUUGGGGGAAAACUUUGCAUUUCUCCUUCAGUGGACAGUGUGGUAAUCUAAUAUUUUUAGUCGCUAUUGAAGUGAAAAAAUGAAGACUUUAUAGCUGCAAACACCGCAGUGUGAUUGCAUACUUGUUAUUUUUGUUCAGUUGAAUGGUGCCUAGUGAAUUAGGUGACUUUUACACCUUUUAUGGAGAAUAUUUUGGUGAAGUUUUAAAGUGUUGUACCAUUCUGCAUAUUUGUGUAGUUGGUGCUUUGUUCAGAAUUGUGUUUUGAGAAGAGUAUGUCUUUCGCAUGUGUUUAGUCUGAAUUUUGCAGAAGGAUUUCUGUUAUCUAAAUUCUUCAAUUUUUUCAGUUUCUAGGGUAUUUUGAAGAUCAAAACCUGUGUAAUAUGCAUUGAAAUGGUGGCAUAAUAAACAUUUUUUACUUAC